UACGUAGGGUGCGAGCGUUAAUCGGAAUUACUGGGCGUAAAGCGUGCGCAGGCGGUUGGUUAAGUCUGAUGUGAAAGCCCCGGGCUCAACCUGGGAAUGGCAUUUGGGACUGCAAGGCUUGAGUGCGGCAGAGGAGACUGGAAUUCCUGGUGUAGCAGUGAAAUGCGUAGAUAUCAGGAGGAAUACCGAUGGCGAAGGCAGGUCUCUGGGCUGACACUGACGCUCAUGCACGAAAGCGUGGGGAGCAAACAGG
RNAcentral lists this ribosomal RNA (253 nucleotides) under uncultured bacterium. RNAcentral describes it as "partial 16S ribosomal RNA". It matches the Rfam family "Bacterial small subunit ribosomal RNA", at positions 524 to 776 of the family's 1533-position model. The record is from RNAcentral.